This 860-nucleotide long non-coding RNA is filed under the name Fukomys damarensis (Damara mole-rat). Its description in RNAcentral is "lncRNA (ENSFDAG00000030606.1)". Lineage: Eukaryota; Metazoa; Chordata; Mammalia; Rodentia; Bathyergidae. The record is from RNAcentral.
CUGCUGCCACCGCUGCUCAGUAGUCCUCGGAGGAGCCAUGAUGAAAAUGGCAUUGCUGUCCCAGCUUGCAAUUGAGAAGCCAAGGCUCAGAGGUGAACUGGCUCAAUCUUCACAGACCCUUGAAGACAAAAUUCCUGUACCAGACCAGCACUGCCAUGAAUCGCCAGCAAGGGGGAUAACUGUCCACCUUCUCCUGAAAACUGGAGGACAAAACAGUAUCCAAUACAAUUUUCUGAGUUGUUACCAUGUCGUAGAUGCCCCCGCCGCUGCUAGCUAACUCAUUUCCGGUUGGCAUUAGUUCUUUGUAGUAGGCAAUAUCAUCUUCAUCUCAUAAAGCAGAAAAUUUUGGUGUCAAAGGUAAAUCUUGUUUUCCUUGCUCUUCAUCUCUAAGAAGUCUUUUUAAAAGAAUCUGUGUAUUAGUACAUGCGUGCAGUAUGGAAUGAUCAUGCUCUGUACAGGGAAUUAGUACACACGCAAACACAUCUUGAUUCACUUUAUAUCCUCUUUCCCUCCCUUUCCUCCUACCUCCCUUUUUCCUCCACCUCUACCUCCCUUUUUCCUUUUCCAUUUUACAAAAGUUCUGUCUCUCUGUUUCCCAUUAUCUUUUAUUUUGCUCUUAUUCAUUUAUGCUUUGGGUUUCUCGUAUAAGAGAAACCAUGCAAUAUUUAAGCACGUGUAUCUGAUUUCACUUAAAUCUUACAGCCAGCUAGACAGCUGUGAGAUAGGAAAAGGAAGUCUAUACGUAACCUUUUCCUCUGACAGCCAGAGGGGUGCUGUUCCAUGAACAGUCCUUACACCCCUGCCCCUGAGGCACUCAACUUCUCACUAGGCCACACUUGCUUCUGCAGCCCCGAGAGUCC